Long non-coding RNA from Poecile atricapillus (Black-capped chickadee), 1394 nucleotides. RefSeq lists it as uncharacterized. NCBI's taxonomy places the organism in Eukaryota, Metazoa, Chordata, Aves, Passeriformes, Paridae. The record is from RefSeq and is a predicted model, not a curated record. The transcript has 3 exons.
AGAAACAAAGGCUCAGAAGUCACAGCAUGGAGGUUCAUUUUAUUUUGUAAACUCAUUAAAAAGAUGUCCAUGUACAAAAUAAGGACAUUUCAAACAACAGAACUGCAGACAAAGGAAACUAUAAAAAUUCAACACAUUAAUAAAAAGGUUUUGUUUUCUUUCUGCACAAUUCCUUGCACCUCCCAUACCAGUCUGCACACACUCUGACAAUCAUUACAAUUCAAGAGCCAUUUGCUCUGCUGGAGGAAUGUGUUGCUGAAAGAUCCAAACCCUGGAGCACGUUAACUAAAAGUAAGACAAGCCUGGAGGACCUGGCUAAAGGCUGCUAAAUGGUUACUGUGCAUUGAUCUGCUCUGAAUUCCAGCUCACUUUGCUUCCUGCUGAUAUCUGGAAUAGGGGAGGAACAGUGUUAGACUGAGCAGGGCCUUGUCCAAAGGUGGGUGCUGUCCUAAUACAUCUAAUGCAGGCUCAGAAAUAAAAACAUUGCUGCAGUCAGACAAUUUCAACCCCAACAAGUGUUAAUUGUGCACCAAGGUCUGCAGCAGCUGCCUGACAAGCUGCUGGGAUUUAGGAUUCAGUCCUCAGCCUUGGAUACUCCUGACUGCAAGUCUGGAUUUGAAUCCUUGAUACGCUGUCAGUAAGAGGUCAAUUAUAAAAUUCUAUUGCUUUUUAAUGUGGCUAAUUCAUAAUUUAAUUUGUCCCUGUUUCUGCCCCCAAAAUGAGUCCCAGCACUGGAAAUCCAUGCACUGCUUGAGGCUCCUGUCAAAGGUUUUUUUCCGUGUCCUCAGGGCAGGCUGGAGCUGCCGGGUGUUCCUGUGGCUGCAGCGCUCAGGGUCAGAGCAUCCCCUGAUCCCGGCUCUCCCUGCCCAGGGUGCCAGCUGUGGGCUCAGUAAACAUCUCCCGUGGCCAGAGAGCAGCUCCAUCCCUGCAGAGAGCUCAGGCUGAGCUGUCCUGAGCCAGGACACAGCGCAGGAAACAGCCCCUGCCAUAAGGCACUUCCCCAUCCCUGCCUGGGCCGGGCUGCAGAGGGGCAGGAGAGCCCGGGCUGGGCUGGGCUGGGGCUGCAGAGUCCCUGGGGACAGGAGAGCCCAGGCUGGGGCUGCAGAGGGGCAGGAGAGCCCCUCCUGGUGCUGCAGAGUCCCAGGGAGGGCAGGAGAGCCCAGGCUGGGGCUGCAGAAGUCCCCCGGGGACAGGAGAGCCCCUCCUGGUGCUGCAGAGUCCCAGGGAGGGCAGGAGAGCCCAGGCUGGUCUGCAGAGUCCCUCUCCCAGUGCUCCAGAGUCCCAUGGAGUGCAGGAGAGCCCCUGACCAGGGCUAAAGAGUCCCCCUGCCCGGUGCUGCAGAUCCCAGGGAGGGCAGGAGAGCCCAGGAUGGGGCUGCAGAGUCCCCCAGGAUG